UUUCCAUCGUAGCCGUUGCGCAGUGAAUUUAAAAAUUUCGACAAACAGUAGAGUUUAUUGAACAGCAUUUUUGAGUAUUUUUAUAGCUGAAUUAAUUCUGCUGAUUAAGGCGUUAGCAAUUAAAUUUGGAUAGCCAAGUCGAAUUUUAUUCAACUGCAAUUGAGUGAAAAAAUCCUCGACUACGAGGAUUUUUUUUCGUACUGUAAUUUUCACCUUUGGACUUAUUUAAACCCGUUCGAGUUUUGGAAAGGAAAUUUUGGGGUGAAUGGUGCAUACCUCCUGGGUCAUAUUGGUUUUAUGGAUCAUAGCUUGUCUAGGAAAGAUUCAUUCCAUACUUGGUUUGGUGCGUUUCACUUGCGAGGGGAGGUCAUCCUGAUUUAAGAUAAGUUCCUUAUCAUACCUGGUUAUAGUAGCAUUCAUUUCUUUAAUUAUCAGUUGUCACUUCAGUAUUGAUAACAAAUAGUGAACAUUGUUCUAAGUGCCGCUAUUUCACUUACUUAGUUUUCAAUAGCCAUUUGUACAAAAAUUUUCAAAAUUGUUCAUAAAAUUUUACCCUAUAGUAUUAAGGAUUUUUUUGCAUGUAAAGGUUAAUCCUGUAGUCAAUAGAUUGGUUAGUAUGCAGUUAUGAAA
Coccinella septempunctata (seven-spotted ladybird) is the source of this 630-nucleotide long non-coding RNA. RefSeq lists it as uncharacterized. NCBI's taxonomy places the organism in Eukaryota, Metazoa, Arthropoda, Insecta, Coleoptera, Coccinellidae. The transcript is spliced from 2 exons. The record is from RefSeq and is a predicted model, not a curated record.